AGAUCAAAGCCAAGGACCAGCAAGCCAAGCAAAGAUGGGUUCCAGCGGCUGGCUUCUCACAGGCAGCUUCGGGUCUACCGCUUUCUGCACCCUGCCCACCCACUCCCAGCAGAACUGGAACCCCUCUCCCUGAGGACAGGACAUUUUGAACCAUUCACGUAAAAGUCUCAACCACGGAGCGUCAGCACCAACCCACCCUUCAGGCGUUGGCAGCAAGGACAACUGUGUUCAGGUGAACUUCUAGCCCUUUCAGACUUCACUGGAUGCUUGGCAUUUGCUACACUAGUUCCCAUUUUAGUGUUCUGCUUGUCUCGUAGACUGGACUGUAAACAACUUGAGCACCAGGGACCUGAAGCCCCCGGAUUCCACAGCAGGGCACUUUACAUGUGAAGAGCCAUUAGCCAGGAAAUGCUUAUGGUUGUUAAUGAUGAUAAGCUACUCCAAACAUAGUUUCUUUUAUCUGCCUACAUCAGAAGCUUGGCUUCUUGAGACAAGAGACUCAGACUUCUCAUUUAUACUCUUGACAGACUGUGGAAAUCAAUAAUGGCUUGCACCCAUCAGUGUCCUGGAAGUAGGAUUGAGAGAGAAGAUUCUCUUGAGAACCGAUUUCUCCUCAAAAUAAGAUUAGGCUUGAAAAAAAAAAAAUCAACCUCCCCACUGCUUAGCUCACAGGUAUGGUGCUAAUGGCAGCAACUUAGUCAUGAAAUGGGGAACAACAAUGUAAAAAAUCCUUGUUAAUUUGCUUAUAAUUAUCCAGAACUAACUACAGGUACACUGAAGAACUGUAUACUUGAUGGGAGGGAGAUCUACACCGCUAAGUCAAUAAGACCAAUUUCCGAUUUUUCCCUGUGAGCAUUUAUUUGCAGAGCCACAUAUUGGCAACAUAAGAAACUAGCGUUGAACAAACCUAAGAAGUGAUGAAUCCUCCCCGGGAGGAGAGCUGCAGCCCUGAAAUCCAAAGCAGAAUGGGCUGGGGGCAGCUUGAGGUCUGUGGGCGAAACUCAGCACUCCCAGUCUAGGGUGCUGCUCACCCAUUAACUUGGCCUCCUCUUGCCACUGUUGUUUUAGCCCUUAGUGAGCAUCUGUGUGGCUCAGAUUUAACCAGACCAAAGGGGCUGUGGUGGUGAGAGGGCAGAGAAAGCUGGAGGAAGAAAUGGCUUUUUUUCUGGAGAGGAGUGAGGACUAAGUCACUUCAAGGAUGAUCAUAUUCCCAGGAGGAGCCAUGAUAUGAUAUUAUUUGAAUAUCUAGCUCCACGCAGCUCUAUUUUUCCCUUCUCACUACUAGAAGAUUGUAAUCACCCGGUAUCAGCACAUUCAAGAUACUACCGAGGACCUAACAGCAUGCCCAAAACCUCUCAUCUCUGCACAUAACUGCGUACAAAUGACUAAAAUCACUUUGCUUCAAAAACAGAGUAGCUGUGUGAAAGGCAUUUUAGAGCAUGUGGGAUUCCACACACAGGCAAGUUCCAGGGAUCUCAGAAGCUUGGCUAUUUCGUUCAGUGCCAAGGAGGCAAAGAUGAGGACAGGCAGUCGUGUGGGUGGGAGGCAGUCCUUGGAUGAUUAGCACAGGUGUCCAGGAGGGAGGGGAGGGUAUGGAAAUGGUACAAACAUGAGAGGAAGCUGUGCCAGUGGGUCAUCAUGCCCCAUUUGUACAGAACAUUGAGUGGACUGUAACUGUGGACAACUGAAAUACCGAAAAGAAAAUGUGCACACACUGUUUAAAUUCUAAACAGUGGGAGAAUCGUUGUUUAAAGAAGAACAGAUAAUUGCUCAUUCCACCCUCCCCAGUCUUUGAAAGAUAGACACAGGAGUGUCACACAGUACAAGAGUUUGUAUUACACAGAAAGAGGGACUUACAGACAGAAACAAAAUUUAAAAACAAACAAACCACCAGCAUUUAUCACCGUUUAUCCAGCCAGUGGUUUUCUUUAUCCCCUUGGCUAUUACUUUAGAUAUUUUUGCUUGGAACUUCUCCCCCACUUUUUCUGACAGCUCAUUGAUCUUGGGUUGGAUCAUCACAGUUCGUGGGAAACAAUACAGGCUACUUUUCUAGCUUAUUCCUUCUUAGAUGCCUCUUGGAUAUUGUCCAUUUAAUAUGUUUGAGAAAUAUAGAGAGACAAAACACACAGUGUUUUAAUCUCAGAGUAUAUGUAGUGUGUCCCUGGAGAAGAAGUCUCAUAUAUCCAAGGGAAUCAUUCCAUUAUUUUAAAGUAAGGCUUGUAUUUCAGAUUGAUCCACCUGGAACAUGUAAUCAAAACUCAUGAACUUUAAUAUAAAUUCCAGAUUCUGGUUUCUUAUCUAUAUUUUUGGGAACAUAACAUUGGUAGAUAAACUAAUUGAAAAAAAUAUUUUCAAUGUUGAUUUAGAAAUGGCUUUUAACUAUUUCUACACAUUCCAUCACUCCAUCUCAGAAGAAGCGGAGUAGAAAACUGCAGCAAAUGGGACUUUAUAUUAAAGUCCUAGGAAAUAUAUUCUGGCUGAUGUGAUGGUUCUUGUGUGUUUCAGUAGGCAUGUAACAUGUGAAUCGCUUUGUGGAACUGGGUUCGUGAGGCUAGUAUUUAUGAAGCUGUAUAUUUCCUUCUGUGUAGUAACACAGAGAGUGAUUCAGGAGAAUGAGAAAAUCCUGUUUCCUGGAAAUACCAUCCAUCCUGAAGGAGUUACGAGAACCAGAACAGAUAUGUAUUUUGCUAUUUAUCUCACACUUAAAGAUUAUACAAUCCAUUUUCCUAGGGCAAGCACAAAUGGUCAGUUUUAUAAAUCUUGAUGGACUAAGUCAAGUAAAAAAGCCCACUAGUUAAGAGUCCAGAUAUCGAGAGACACAAAUCUGAGGAACGAUCAAUUAGGACACCGUGGUAGCUUGUCUCCAAGAUGUCCAUCAUCAGCUCUUUCCUUCCCUGCAUGUUUGUGCUGUUCUCUAGUUGAACGGUGGCGUCUAUUCACUCCCUUAAAACUGGACUGGACUGUGACUUCUCUGAACAACAGUGACGUGAUGUUUCAUUCCCAGUGUUUGAGAGGAUAGGAAAUUUCUAAUUUCUUUUCCUUGGAACAUUUGCUCAGGAAAAAGCCAGUAACUAUGUAAGAAGGCUAACUACUGCGAGACCACCAUGCUAUGAGAAAGCGCAAGCCAUGUGGAGUGACUGCACGGGCUCUCAGAGAUGCCCAGCCAAGCCCCACCCUCCAUCCACCCGAGCCGAGGCUCUGCAGCCUACAGAUGAUUUCAAUUCCAGCCAUAAUCUAACUCCAACUUCACAGGAGACCUGAAGCAAGAACUAGCCAGUUAAGUCUAAUCAACUCAUUAAACUGUGAGAGAUAGGCAUACAUUGUUGUAGCCUACUAAGUUUUGAGAUGGUUGGUUAUGCACUGUGGAUUCCUAUUACCAAUCGGCUAUAAUUAUAAAAUAUCCACUGGCAAAUAUAAGUUCCAGAGGCAAAGACUGUGUUCCUUUUGCUCAUCAUUGUAUUCAUAACAUGCAGCACAGUGCCUAGAACACAGAAAGCCCUAAACUAAUAAUACGUAAAAGUUUGAAAAAGUUUAUCUGUACUAGUAUGAAAGAAAGACCCAUAGUCAAACGGCUGACAUUUUUUAGCAAGUUUGAUGGGCACAAUAACCUUAUGGUGGUGGUAUUACUACCUCUGUCUUUGAGAUGAGGGAACCUCAGCUUUUUUUUUUUUUUUUGAGGAAGUAAGCUUCCCAAGCUCAGAAAGGUAGGGGAGAGGGCCAGGCAUGGUGGCUCACACCUGUAAUCCUAACACUUUGGGAGGCCAAGGCGGGCAGAUCACCUGAGGUCGGGAGAUCGGGGCCAUCCUGGCCAACAUGGAGAAACCCUGUCUCUACUAAAAAUACAAGAAAUUAGCCGGGCAUGGUGGCACAUGCCUGUAAUCCCAGCUACUUGGGAGGCUGAGCCAGGAGAAUCGCUUGAACUCAGGAAGCAGAGGUUGUGGUGAGCCGAGAUCACACCAUUGCACUCUAGCCUGGGCAACAAGAGCGAAACUCUGUCUCAAAAAGAGAAAAAAAAAAAAAGAAAGAAAGGUAGGGGAGAGAUUUGAACUCAGAUUUGUGCAAUUCUAAAGCCAGCCUGUUUAUUAUAGUCUCCCAGGAGACUACAACAGAAACAAUGAGAAAACAAUUUGAAAGAGAUGCAAAACCCACCCCUUGAAUCUUACCCAGGACUAUGGAGCUCCAUUAAUUGCUGUCAACACGCUGGAACCUAUUUCACAUGAAGCUCAGACCAAUUACAAUUAAUGCCACAGUCAUGACUACAAACUAGAAACCAAUGCCAGAGGAAGCUUAAGUUAAAGAAAGCAACGAUCACGCACAUAUAUUAUGUUAGCAAUUAGGCUUAAUCCUAGAAUCGUGAAGCCAAAGAGAAUAUAUUAAAGAGAGAACAGUGCCCUCCUGGGAAGAAGAGCAAUUUCAAAUAGACUUUUUAGUGGCUUUCUACAUUACUUACUUGAAUAUAUUAUGCUCCCCUAGAAUUACUAUAUUACAAUUACUCACGCCACAUUUUAUUUAUUUCAGCAAGGAAAUGGGAUGGUGCAAUGAGCUCAGUGGGCAGACGGUUUGGUUAUUUCAAUGAAUAAUUUGAAUGUCAACAAGUUGGUGGAUGCUAAGAUGAAAGGGGAAGUAGUAAAUAGCAAAGGUCUCAAUGCCUGACUCUGAGAUGGAGUAAGGAUGAGCUAUCAGGACUGGCACUUCACUUCUAAAUGUUGAGCACUCAGGUUUUGCUAAAUUUAUAAAAGCACAUGAACUAACUAACAUCGCAUAUUUCCUUAACGAGAAGACCAGUUUAUCUCUGUUUAAAACAGUUCUGAUCUACUCAAAUACACAUUUUUAAUUUUCACUGAAAAAUGUUAUAAAUAAAUCAAAAUUUAAAUAAAAAAACUGGGAGGGAAAGGUAGAUCUACUUCUCAAUUCAGAAGAUUAAUAAAAGGAUUAAGGAAUUAAAUAAUCACAUUCUCUAGCCUCAGCUCACGACUUUUUCAAGGCUCAGUUUCUCAAUAAAUGGAAAAGCAAAUUCUCAUUAUUCUCCCAAUCUGUUUGAAAGCAGAGCUGGGGUGUUACAGUGAUUAACAGUUAUCAAGGCCCAUUAAAGUUGUUAAUUAUAGUGGCGUUCACUAUCUUUUUCCAUCAUUUUUAGCUAUUGAGACAGGGUCUUUGUGGAUCCCAAGGAUCAUGUGUUUGCAGUUCAAUUCAGCAGCCACUAGGUGGUAAUAUUGUUGAUUUUGGUAGCCAUGAAGUGUGAUCUAUCAGACCUGCCCUCUUAAAUGGAAUUAUGUACAUCCCUUAUAUCAUCAAGAUGUAAUUAUAGAAAUAAUUAUACUUUAAAAUAUGUAAAAUAUUUUAAUUGUGAAAAAUAUAAUCCCUUAUAAAAGUUCCAUGCAUAUCUGGUACCUUUUAAACUUAUGCUAAUUCUACUUACCUUUUAUUCUAAUUAUACACAUGACUAUCUUCAAAUUAUACAUAUAACAAAAAUAAAGUGUCUGGUCUUAACAGAAAUCCAGCUUAUAUUCAUUGCUUCUGGCUUAUUUUUAGAAGAGAUGAAAAAGAUGCACAUAACUUUCCUUCUAAAAUUAUGGCCGUCCUCUGUAGUAAAUAAUUAUUUGCCACUUGAACUUGGAACCACUGCUAUUCGCACCAUUGGGGUCCUGGGACUCAAAAGAAACCAAGUGGUUCUCUAAGUUAGUAGGAUGGCACAGUAACAACGCUGGGAUUGAGCUCACCCUGACCCUGAGUAAGUUACCAAGACCCUCAGACUCAGUUUUCUUAUCUGGAAAGUUAGGAAUGAAAAAAAUCAGUUUCAAAGGAUUGCUGCAAAAUUAAAUGAAGUGCUAUGCACCUGUUGAAGUCAAGUAUAGCAUGCUCCCCAAUCACCCCCCAACACACACACCAGAACUAACAAUUCAGGAAGGAAAUUUUCAGUAUAUUGGUGUUUCUCACAGAGGGUCAAAGUGGGACAAUAAGAAUGCCUUAAAUGUAACACAUUGUAUUUAUUAAAGCUUUAUAGUUUAUAUGGUGGUUUCCCAUGUAUGUUAUCUAAUUUCAUCUUCAUAAUGACACUGUGUACUAGAUAUUACUAUUCCCAUUUUACAGACAAGAAAAAAAAAAAGGCCCCAAGAACUUAAAAUCCUUUGCAAAAUCACAUAGAAAGGUUAAGUGGUGAACCCAGUGUUCAAACCUAGGUCUUCUGACUUCAAGCACAAAGCUCUCUCACUACAUUCAGAUCACUUAAAAACACAACAUUUUAUUGUGCCUAUCGUUAAUAAGACUGUAUUGCACACUUAAGAAUUUGUUAAAGAGGGUAGAAUUCAUGCUAAGUAUUCUUACUAAAAUAAUAAAAGUUGUAUGUAUGUAGAAAAAAGUAUUGCUUAAUCUAAUUAAACUAAACAGCUUCUGCACAACAAAAGAAACUAGCAUCAGAGUGAACAGGCAACCUACAGAAUGGGAGAAAAUUUUUGCAAUCUACCCAUAUGACAAAGGCCUAGUAUCCAGAAUCUAUAAGGAACUUAAAUUUACAAGAAACAACCCCAUCAAAAAGUGGGCAAAGGAGAUGAACAAACACUUCUCAAGACAUUUAUGCGGCCAACAAACAUGAAAAAAAGUUCAACAUCACUGAUCAUUAGAGAAAUGCAAAUCAAAACCACAAUGAGAUACCAUCUCCCACCAGUCAGAAUGGCGAUUAAAAAGUCAAGAAACAAUAGAUGCUGGUGAGGCUGCAGAGAAACAGGAAUGCUUUUACACUGUUGGUGGGAAUGUAAAUUAGUUCAACCAUUGUGGAAGACAGUGUGGCGAUUCCUCAAGGAUCUAGAACCAUAAAUGCCAUUUGACCCAGCAAUCCCAUUACUGGUAUAUACCCAAAGGAUUAUAAAUCAUUCUGCUAUAGAGAUGCAUGCACACGUAUGUUUAUUGCAGCACUAUUUACGAUAGCAAAGACUUGGAACCAACCCAAAUGCCCAUUGAUGAUAGACUGGAUAAAGAAAAUGUGGUACAUAUAUACCAUGGAAUACUAUGCAACCAUAAAAAAGGAUGAGUUCAUGUCCUCCUAGUUUUUCCAAAACAAACUAAUGAAAUGUGAAAAGGGUGAAUUCACAAGGGGCUAUACAUAGAAAGAAAGAGCCUGACUGACUUGGCUCCAUCCUCUACUUCUACCUGGGGACAUUUCCAAUCAUCAGAAAGAGGUUAAUGCAAUUGCAGCUCCAGAGUCUCAUCAAACUAUCUUGGAUUCUGCCAUGAUGAAAGGGAAAUGAGGAGAUUACCCAAUAACACCAUCAUGAGGUUGUCCUUAGUAAUACUUCAAUUCUUACAUGGUUGAGGGCCUACUCAAAGUUGUAAAAAUCAGUUUAAGGUAUAGUCCCCUGUUCUACCAAAGCAAGCAAAUAAACUGGUUCCAUAACGUUGAAAAGAUGUAGGGGUGUGUGUGUGUGUAUGUGUGUGUGUGUGUGUAAAUAUCUGCUGCUGCUCUAGGAAAGACCCUGUAAGAGUUAAUGAUACUUAUCUGACAAAUAAUAUCUUACCUCCAAACCCAACCACUACCAUCUCUCUUCCACUAGCAUGUAGUUCUGAGACAGUGUUUAAAAACAGAAGACAAGGCUGGGCGUGGUGGCUCGUGCCUGUAAUCCCAGCACUUUGGGAGGCUGGGGUGGGUGGAUCACUUGAGGUCAGGAGUUCCAGAAAAACAGGAGACAAACUCUUUAAAAAACUAAGAGUUAAGGCCGGGCGUGGUGGCUCAUGCCUGUAAUCCCAGCACUCUAGGAGGCCGAGGUGGGCGGAUCACAAGGUCAGGAGAUCGAGACCAUCCUGGCUAACGCAGUGAAACCCCGUCUCUACUAAAAAUUACAAAAACUUAGCCAGGCGUAGUGGCGGGCACCUGUAGUCCCAGCUACUCGGGAGGCUAAGGCAGAAGAAUGGCAUGAACCUGGGAGGCGGAGCGUGCAGUGAGCUGAGAUCGCGCCACUGCACUCCAGCCUGGGUGACAAAGCGAGACUCCAUCUCAAAAAAACAAACAAACAAAAAAAUUAGAGUUAAGGCCUAAAAUGCAAAUACCCACGGAAGAGGUCAGAUCCUGACAAUGAUCUCAAGAUAUAAAUGACUGAGAUUUGGUUCUAUGUUUGUGAUUAGGUUUAAAGGAUGGUCUGUGUCGGGGUAAUCUGAGAGAAGAUCUUUACUCUCUCAUUUUGGCAUAUUCAUAAAAGUGUACAUUGAAGCACCUGUGUAAUGAAGAGCCCAAAUGAAAUAAAGAACAGGAUUAUGGCAAUAAGAAAAAAAAUAUGAGGAACAGGUAAAACACCCUACAUAUUAGAGGCCUCUUCUUGACCAUAAUGUAAAUUAGGGUUCAUGUUACAUACCUAAUAAUAACAUCACAAAAGUGUGACGCCUGAAACUGAAGUGAUGAUGGAAGCAUGAGCAAAAUAAGUGAAGUCAAUCCAAGUCAAGGAGAAAGAACGGAGGGGUUCCAGCAGGUUCAUGUGUGUGCACGUGUGUGUGCGUGCACACGUGUGUGUGUAUUAGACUGUCUUGAGCUCUCAAUGCCUUUAAACAUUUCCUUGCAUUUUCUCAUUGACUGGGAGGCUUCCAUUAGAUAGAGCCAUCUAGAGCGAUGUUGAAGAAGGCAGCCAUAGGAAACAAACCAAGGUACUAGCUCAUAGAUCUUGCUUGAUAAGGGACCUUCAGAUUUCCUUUUAAGUUGUCCAGUUCAGCACCCAAUGAAAGUAAUGAGACUGUGAGUAAGACCAUUUGGUUUCCAAUUCUAGGUUCAGGUGGCUAAGGGACCCCAGUUGGUAUAAUGAUGGAGAAGCAAUGAAUAGGAAGCAGAAUCUUAGGGAAAAAUGUGAAGUGCGAAGUACUAUAGAAAAUUGUUUUUCAAAAAAAAUUUGUUUACUAUUUUAAGAGGUACUCACUGGUUAAAACACCCAAAUUUAUAACAAAUCUGCAUACGCCUAUGAACCUCAUCUGCCUAUUUUCUACCUGCUGCAGCAAUGAACCUGUUUGAUUAGUUUUAGGAGUAAUAGUCUAAAUAUUUAACAAUAACAUAGGUACUAACUAGCAGAACAGGCAACCUGUAUGGGUGUUAUGGUGAGGACCAGCUGAAUAUCAGUCUUGGGUUAGUUCUCUUUUGUUUUUUUUUUUUUUUUUUUUUUCAGAGACAGAGUCUCACUCUGUCACCCAUGCUGGAGUGCAGUGGCGCAAUCUCGGCUCACUGCAAGCUCUGCCUCCCGGGUUCAUGCCAUUCUCCUGCCUCAGCCUGUUGAGUAGCUGGGACUACAGGCGCUUGUCACCACGCUCAGCUAAUUUUUUUUUUUUUUGUAUUUUUAGUAGACACGGGGUUUCAUCGUGUUAGCCAGGAUGGUCUCGGUCUCCUGACCUCGUGAUCUGCCCGCCUCGGCCUCCCAAAGUGCUGUGAUUAUAGGCGUGAGCCACCGCGCCCGGCCAGUCUUAGGUUAAUUCUUAUUUGUUCUCACUGUUAGGUAGUAUUCAUUUUUUGCUUCAUUUUUAUCUGAAUGAUAAAAUAAUAUACCUAAUAAUAACAUAACUACUCUUCUGACCCUUGCUUUUAUCCACUUAAACAUAUACAUUAGGGAUCCUCCAGGUCAAUACAUACAGACUUUUUUUUUAAAAAAGAUGCUUAGUAUUCCAAUGUAUGGAAAUACCAUAAUUUCACAACUCCAUUACUGGAUAGUCAUUAGAAACCGACUUCGGGGGAAAACAUACGCUCUUUGCAGGAAUUUCUGGGAAAAAAAAUCCCCUCUAGCCCUUUUAGAUAAAAGCCUACCUAAUAGACCUGUGAUAAAAUAGCUUUCUUUUCUUUAUUUUUUUUUUGGAGGAGUCUCACUGUGGCCCAGGCUGCAGUGCAGUGGUAUGAUCUCAGCUCACUGCAACCUUUGCUUCCUGGGUUCAAGCGAUUCUCCUGUCUCAGCCUCCAGAGCAGCUGGGAUUACAGGCGCACACCACCAUGUCCGGCUAAUUUUUGUAUUUUUAGUAGAGAUGGGGUUUCGCCAUGUUGGC
This 9999-nucleotide long non-coding RNA is filed under the name Homo sapiens (human). Its description in RNAcentral is "non-protein coding lnc-GREM1-2:1". The record is from RNAcentral. Lineage: Eukaryota; Metazoa; Chordata; Mammalia; Primates; Hominidae.